CAAACAACCCCAAACCAAAAACAUUAUAGCUAGACAGUAGUAACAAGAGUGUAACCGCUGGAGAGCUGACAUGAGGUUUUACAGCACAACAUUUUCUCUUUUAUUUUUGUCUGUCCACAUUUUAGCACGACCAACAUCUUUUAACGUCAGCGACAACAAAAACACUUCCACUGGCUGCGAGAAUGAGUACAAUGUUAGGGUUGACAGUGGAGAAACUGUUUCUCUGGGUAACAUCAGCAACAUUCAUAUUUCUGGAACAAACCGAGGAUGCAUCGGAGGAAGGAACAACUACACUGUGACAGGAAGAAUCACAGCCAAGUCCAAUAUUGGCAAUGUGAGGAAUGUUACUGUUGGUAACAACUCAGGAUCAAUUGGUUCAGGGAACCGCAUUAACAUUAGCUGAGGAUUGGAUCACGAACCACUGAGCUAAAAAACAUGUCCUAUACAGUAUAAUUACAACACAACAAUAACAAAGGCAAAGUUCAUGACUUGAAAUCAGCAAAAAUCAUCUAGACUCAUCAACUGUUAAGAAAUAUAAAUGAAAAUAAAGUCAACAUGCCGCAUCAAAGUGUGCACUUUGCAUUAUUUUUCCAUUGUUUUUUGCAACAGGAAACACAUUACAUUUUCUCUUCAACUUCUUAAACUGAGCAUUAAGAUGGGAAAGUUCCACUAGAAGUGUGAUUAAAAGACAAAUCACACCUCAGACAUCUGAUCACAACCUAAAACAUUUCUGUUUGAGUAGGAUAUUAUAAUGCAACUACAGUAUAACCAUUUCCAGAUAGACCAUCCUGACGAUGUUACGACAGAUUGUAUCAAAGACGGAGAUCCAGGAAAAUCCAGCAAAUCCAAAAAUUUGAUUUCUAAAGACUGAAUUUGAAAUUAAUUGGCCCAAGAACACCAAUUAACUUUGUAUUCCAAACCCGACAUAACACAAAAUUACUGUUGUUUUGUUUAGGACUGAAACUGAGUGCAGAGCAUUUUGUAUCUGCAUCUGACAAUAUGUUAUUCAAAACAUACAAUAAAAAAACUUCUUUGUAUUAACUUGUCUGCUAAAGGAGUAAUGCGACAAAAAAUCAUCACGCUCCCUUUAGACUCCUUGGGCCAAAAAAACAUUGGUUAGCCAUAUUAGUAAGUUCCUCCGCCUAAGGCAUCCUGCUACAACAUGAACACACCUGCAGAAACUGUAUAAAAGCAGAGUCUUCCCUCCUAAAUACAACAAGCUCACCUCCCAGCAAAGGACCAACAACUGAAACCAGUGAUUUCAGCAGGAACAAUGUCUGAACGUUGUCACACCCCAUGCAAUUGCAGAGGAUGCGCUACACACAGUGUCUGCCAUGGACACACACACUGCACCCCAGGAUGCACUGGACCCAAAGCCUCUGUGGGCAACACCUCUGACAUCAAUGUUGGAGGCAGCAACAGUGGGAACAUUGGAUCAGGGAACAGCAUUAACAUCCAAGGAGGACUGGGACACAAUGCAAGUGUUGGUAACACCACUGGUGUUACCGCUGGUAACAACUGUGGAUCUAUUGGGUCAGGGAACAGUAUUAACAUGAAAUAAGGAAGCUGCCUUCCAACAGGUGAAGGACAACUCUUCUUAAAACGAUGAAUCAUCUGUUUUACUGUGUCAUUUAAUUGAAAUGUUCUUCACAAAGCAUUAGAUGUUGAAUUCACGAUUUAAUAUUGGUCAGCAAAAUGUGAAAGAAAUACAUGUGAAAAUAAAGUCCACAUGCAGUAUGA
This is a long non-coding RNA of Lates calcarifer (barramundi perch), 1740 nucleotides long. RefSeq lists it as uncharacterized. The record is from RefSeq and is a predicted model, not a curated record. The transcript is spliced from 8 exons. Lineage: Eukaryota; Metazoa; Chordata; Actinopteri; Centropomidae.